Molecule: small nuclear RNA, 105 nt
Organism: Manis javanica (Malayan pangolin)
Lineage: Eukaryota; Metazoa; Chordata; Mammalia; Pholidota; Manidae
Source: RefSeq, a predicted model, not a curated record
AUGCUCAUUUUGGCAGCAUAUAUACUAAAAUUGGAACGAUACAGAGAAAAUUAGGAUGGGCCCUGCACAAGGAAGACACAAAUUUGUGAAACGUUCCAUGUUUUU